This 774-nucleotide ribosomal RNA is filed under the name uncultured Neocallimastigales. Its description in RNAcentral is "partial large subunit ribosomal RNA". It matches the Rfam family "Eukaryotic large subunit ribosomal RNA", at positions 20 to 627 of the family's 3401-position model. Lineage: Eukaryota; Fungi; Neocallimastigomycota; Neocallimastigomycetes; Neocallimastigales. The record is from RNAcentral.
UACUAGAGUAGCACUCGCAUAUCAAUAAGCGGAGGAAAAGAAACUAACAAGGAUUCCCCUAGUAACGGCGAGUGAAGCGGGAAGAGCUCAAAUUUGAAAUCUUAAAGGGUUUCCCUUUACGAAUUGUAGUUUAAAGAAGUGUUUUCUGUUGAGGUUUUGGUAAAAGUUCUUUGGAAUAGGACAUCAUAGAGGGUGAGAAUCCCGUAUUUGACCUUUACUUUCAACUUUGUGAUACACUUCCAAAGAGUCGGAUUGUUUGGGAAUGCAGUCCAAAAUGGGUGGUAAAUUUCAUCUAAAGCUAAAUAUUGGCGAGAGACCGAUAGCGAACAAGUACCGUGAGGGAAAGAUGAAAAGAACUUUGAAAAGAGAGUUAAACAGUACGUGAAAUUGUCAAAAGGGAAGCGUUUGACACCAGUGUUGUUUUUCUGAAAAUCAAUUAAAGAACUGUCUAUGCUAAGCUGUUUAGACUUUAUCAGCUAAUCUGUUUAGUUUUGAGCUUUUCUUUAAUGCACUUUUCAGUUAACAAGUCAACAUCAAUUUCUUUUGCUGUAAAAAAGCUUGAGGAGGUGGCUUGAGAUUCGUCUUAAGUGUUUAUAGCCUCUUGCCUAUGCAGUCGGAGAGAUUGAGGUCUGCAGCGUAGAUCCUUCGGGGCUAAAUGCAUUUGUGCUAAGUUAUAGCAUUUUAUAGACAACUUGUUGACUAUGAUUUGUCUUGUAGCUUACUCGCUUAUGUUAUUUUACCUACGCUUAGGAUGUUGAACUCUAUCACACACAG